Molecule: ribosomal RNA, 1240 nt
Filed under: Lachesilla sp. Lasp7Q
Lineage: Eukaryota; Metazoa; Arthropoda; Insecta; Psocodea; Lachesillidae
Description: 16S ribosomal RNA
Rfam family: Archaeal large subunit ribosomal RNA (bases 1009-1167)
Source: RNAcentral
UUGAAAAAUUUUUUUGAUUGUUAUUUAUUAUUAAUUAAUAAAAUAUAAUUGUUUAAUAAAAUAGUAUUUGUUUUAGUUUUAGAAUGAAAAAUUUAGGUUUAUUAUAAGUUAAAGUAUUGAAAAAGAAUUAAUGUUAUAAAGAAAAAAGUUGAAAUUAUUUUUGUACCUUUUGUAUCAGGGUUUAAAGAAAAAUUGUUAGAUAAAUAAAUCUCGAAAAGUUAAGAUUUAAGUUUAUAGUAUUGUUAAUGUAUCAAAAUUAAUAUUAAAUAUAAAUUUAGUAAUGAAAAGUUAAUCGUUUAACGAUGUUUCUAGUUUUUAAAUAAAUUAAUUUAAUUAAAAGUUGGACUUGUAUAUUAAUUAUUAUAAAAAUAAGUUCAGCUUAAAACUAUAAAGAGUUUAGUUUUUAUAGAUUUUAUAUAAAAAUAAAUAAAAUUUUUUUUAGAAUUAUUAUUGUUUAAAAUUAUUAAUUUUUUAAAAAGAAAAAUUUUUUAUAAUGAAAUUUAUUUAUAAAUUAAAAGUAUAUUUAAAUUAUGAUUUAAUUUAAUUAAAUCAAGAAAAAAUUUUAAAAUUAGUAAAUUUUGUGAUUAAAUUGUUAAAUAGGAAUUCGGCAAAAUUAAUUUUCGCUUGUUUAUCAAAAACAUGUCUUUAAGAUUUUUAUUUAAAGUCCAAUCUGCUCACUGAAUUUUAAAGAGCUGCAGUAUACUGACUGUACAAAGGUAGCAUAAUCAAUAGUUUUUUAAUUGAAAACUGGAAUGAAUGAUUAGACGAGAAAUUAGCUUUCUUUUUAAUAAAAAAUUGAAUUUAAAUUUUAAGUGAAAAUGCUUAAAUAAUUUUAAAAGACGAGAAGACCCUAUAGAUUUUUAUUAAUUUAAUUGUAAUUAAUUAUUUAUUUUUAAAUUAAUUUAAUUGGGGCGAUUUUGUAAAAUAAAAAACUUAAAAUAUUUUUAACCAUAAAUAAUUGAAUUUUUUGAUCCAAAAAUUUUGAUAAAAAGAAUAAAUUACCUUAGGGAUAACAGCGUAAUUUUAUUUAAGAGUUCAUAUCUAUAAUAAAGUUUGCGACCUCGAUGUUGAAUUAAGGGUUUCAUCGGAGUAGAAAUUGAUGUUAAAUAGUCUGUUCGACUAUUAAAUCCUUACAUGAUUUGAGUUCAGACCGGCGUGAGCCAGGUCAGUUUCUAUCUUUGAAUUAUUUUUAUAAAUGGGUACGAAAGGACAAUUUAUAAAUAAAAAUUAUUUAAUUUAU